This 516-nucleotide long non-coding RNA is filed under the name Gallus gallus (chicken). RNAcentral's name for it is "lncRNA (ENSGALG00010000781.1)". The record is from RNAcentral. Lineage: Eukaryota; Metazoa; Chordata; Aves; Galliformes; Phasianidae.
GGAGGACGGACAGCAUUACGGGUUGGGGUGAUGGGGAAGGGAAGAAAGGGAGCAGGAAAGAGGAAAUAGGAGCGGGGAGUGUCUAUAGGUACAGAUUGGGUGAUGGGGAAGGAAGAAAAGGAGCAGGAAAGAGGAAAUGGGAGCGAGGAGUGUCCAUAGGUACAGAUUGGGUGAUGGGGAAGGGAAGAAGGGCAGCAGGAAAGAUAGGAAAUAGGAGCAAGGAGUCUAUAGGUACAGAUUGGGUGAUGGGGAAGGGAAAAAGGGCAGCAGAAAUAGGAAAUAGGAACACGGAGUCACUAUAGGCACAAAUUGGGGUGAUGGGGGAAGGGAAGAAGUGCAGCAGAAAUAGGAAAUGGGAGCGAGGACUUUCCAUAGGUACAGAUUGGGAUGAUGGGGAAGGAAGAAAAGGAGCAGGAAAGAGGAAAUAGCGAGGAGUGUCCAUAGGUACAGAUUGGGAUGAUGGGGAAGGAUGAAAAGGAGCAGGAAAGAGGAAAUGGGAGCGAGGAAUCACUAUAG